This 354-nucleotide transfer-messenger RNA is filed under the name Verrucomicrobiaceae. RNAcentral's name for it is "JACKQF01 sp024232965 Standard tmRNA". It matches the Rfam family "transfer-messenger RNA". From Rfam's summary of the family: Bacterial tmRNA, also known as 10Sa RNA or SsrA, is named for its dual tRNA and mRNA-like properties. Its role is to liberate the mRNA from a stalled ribosome. To accomplish this part of the tmRNA is used as a reading frame that ends in a translation stop signal. RNAcentral also lists the same sequence under 2 other names. The record is from RNAcentral. Lineage: Bacteria; Pseudomonadati; Verrucomicrobiota; Verrucomicrobiia; Verrucomicrobiales.
GGGGGCGUCCUGGUUUCGACGGGUAGUCUGAAGUUGGAGUGGCAUGCCGAGGAUGAUUCGUUGGCCUCGUAAAAUCCCCGAAUCAAAACAAACAAACGCAAACUCUAACGAGCUCGCACUCGCGGCUUAAGCCCCGCGACAUUUUCCCGUUGACGCCUGAUGGCCGGGAAGAUGCACUUAUCAGGCUGGUCGGAUGAUCGGGUGACCGGGUCGAAGACGAGAUUCAACAGGACUCUAGGUGAAGCGGAUUCUGCAGGUCGAAGCCGCCAACCGAAACUAAAAGACAAGCUAAGCAUGUAGAAGCUUCGAUCGACGGUUAUUCGGACAGGGGUUCAACUCCCCUCGCCUCCACCA